RNAcentral lists this long non-coding RNA (242 nucleotides) under Gossypium barbadense (sea-island cotton). RNAcentral's name for it is "long non-coding RNA (GBAR_LNC006967)". Lineage: Eukaryota; Viridiplantae; Streptophyta; Magnoliopsida; Malvales; Malvaceae. The record is from RNAcentral.
CCCAGGCCACCAAUACAAUUCUCGCAAGUCGCGAUACAACUUAUUCCUUCCAGGAUGCAUAGUACAAAGUCCUCUAUGAGCUUCUUUUAGUAUUGACUGCCUUAAGUCAGAGUCCUUCGAAAUGCAAACUCUUCAUCGAAAACACAGAACUCUUUCACUAUUCAACCCAAACUCAGAAGUUUCCCCUUUCUUAAUUUGUUGGAAUCGAGAAACUAAACACUCAUCCUUCAACUCCUUUUCCC